This 231-nucleotide ribosomal RNA is filed under the name uncultured bacterium. Its description in RNAcentral is "partial 16S ribosomal RNA". It matches the Rfam family "Bacterial small subunit ribosomal RNA", at positions 15 to 238 of the family's 1533-position model. The record is from RNAcentral.
GAUCAUGGCUCAGGAUGAACGCUGGCGGCGUGCCUAAUACAUGCAAGUAGAACGCUGAAGGAGGAGCUUGCUCUUCUGGAUGAGUUGCGAACGGGUGAGUAACGCGUAGGUAACCUGCCUGGUAGCGGGGGAUAACUAUUGGAAACGAUAGCUAAUACCGCAUGACAACAGUUAUUGCAUGAUAGCUGUUUAAAAGGGGCAACUGCUCCACUACCAGAUGGACCUGCGUUG